UACGUAGGAUGCAAGCGUUGUUCGGAAUUACUGGGCGUAAAGAGUACGUAGGCGGUUUGAUAAGUCUGAAAUUAAAGACUGAGGCUUAACCUCAGGAAUGUAUCGGAAACUGUCAGACUAGAGGACAAUAGAGGAAGUCGGAAUUCUCAGUGUAGCGGUGAAAUGCGUAGAUAUUGGGAAGAACACCAGUGGCGAAGGCGGCUCACUGGUCCGGUACUGACGCUGAGGUGCGAAAGCCAGGGGAGCAAACGGG
This 253-nucleotide ribosomal RNA is filed under the name uncultured bacterium. Its description in RNAcentral is "partial 16S ribosomal RNA". It matches the Rfam family "Bacterial small subunit ribosomal RNA", at positions 524 to 776 of the family's 1533-position model. The record is from RNAcentral.